CCUAUCAGCUUUUCCCGAUCGUUUGCCUGCAAGAUACGACGGAAGAAAUGGAAAUUAUAAAUAUAUUCUUGUGUUAUACCAUAUUUCGCAUGUGACAUGCAAAGGACGGAAUAUCAAUGAUAAAGAGAAUAGUGAAUGGCUGAAUUUCAGAUACAACAAUGAAUCUGGAAGGUUGUACAUACAAGAUAAGUACACAUUGUUUGAAUUAUGUUAGAAUUCAAGUAUGAGU
Molecule: non-coding RNA, 229 nt
Organism: Styela clava
Lineage: Eukaryota; Metazoa; Chordata; Ascidiacea; Stolidobranchia; Styelidae
Source: RefSeq, a predicted model, not a curated record